This 918-nucleotide ribosomal RNA is filed under the name Halomonas sp. RNAcentral's name for it is "bacterial SSU rRNA". Lineage: Bacteria; Pseudomonadati; Pseudomonadota; Gammaproteobacteria; Oceanospirillales; Halomonadaceae. The record is from RNAcentral.
AACACAUGCAAGUCGAGCGGUAACAGAUCUAGCUUGCUAGAUGCUGACGAGCGGCGGACGGGUGAGUAAUGCAUAGGAAUCUGCCCGAUAGUGGGGGAUAACCUGGGGAAACCCAGGCUAAUACCGCAUACGUCCUACGGGAGAAAGGGGGCUUUGGCUCCCGCUAUUGGAUGAGCCUAUGUCGGAUUAGCUAGUUGGUGAGGUAAAGGCUCACCAAGGCGACGAUCCGUAGCUGGUCUGAGAGGAUGAUCAGCCACAUCGGGACUGAGACACGGCCCGAACUCCUACGGGAGGCAGCAGUGGGGAAUAUUGGACAAUGGGGGCAACCCUGAUCCAGCCAUGCCGCGUGUGUGAAGAAGGCCCUCGGGUUGUAAAGCACUUUCAGCGAGGAAGAACGCCUGUCGGUUAAUACCCGKYAGGAAAGACAUCACUCGCAGAAGAAGCACCGGCUAACUCCGUGCCAGCAGCCGCGGUAAUACGGAGGGUGCAAGCGUUAAUCGGAAUUACUGGGCGUAAAGCGCGCGUAGGUGGCUUGAUAAGCCGGUUGUGAAAGCCCCGGGCUCAACCUGGGAACGGCAUCCGGAACUGUCAGGCUAGAGUGCAGGAGAGGAAGGUAGAAUUCCCGGUGUAGCGGUGAAAUGCGUAGAGAUCGGGAGGAAUACCAGUGGCGAAGGCGGCCUUCUGGACUGACACUGACACUGAGGUGCGAAAGCGUGGGUAGCAAACAGGAUUAGAUACCCUGGUAGUCCACGCCGUAAACGAUGUCGACCAGCCGUUGGGUGCCUAGCGCACUUUGUGGCGAAGUUAACGCGAUAAGUCGACCGCCUGGGGAGUACGGCCGCAAGGUUAAAACUCAAAUGAAUUGACGGGGGCCCGCACAAGCGGUGGAGCAUGUGGUUUAAUUCGAUGCAACGCGAA